RNAcentral lists this transfer RNA (74 nucleotides) under Candidatus Woesearchaeota archaeon. RNAcentral's name for it is "tRNA-Met". It matches the Rfam family "tRNA". From Rfam's summary of the family: Transfer RNA (tRNA) molecules are approximately 80 nucleotides in length. RNAcentral also lists the same sequence under 1 other name. Lineage: Archaea; Nanobdellati; Candidatus Woesearchaeota. The record is from RNAcentral.
UAGGGGGUGGCGCAGUCUGGUAGCGCAUCGGGCUCAUAACUCGAAGGUCGUUGGUUCAAAUCCAACCCCCUUAA